GGGGCCUAAAAACCUCCUUCAGGCAUAAAAGUUUGGUCCAAGCUUUAAAAUCAGUUAUUUCUUAACUUACACAUGCAAGUCUCCUCAACCCUGUGAGUAUACCCUCGCUUCCCUUACGGAAUGAGGAGUUGGUAUAAGGCGCUUUAACUCGCCCAGAACACCUAGCAAUAGCCACACCCACAAGGGAUACAGCAGUGAUUAACAUUAGUUAUAAGUGCCAACUUGAUCUAGUCAAAGAAAUGUAAGGCCGGCAAAAUUAGUGCCAGCCGCCGCGGUUACACUAUAGGCCUAAGCUGAAUUUCAUCGGCGUAAAGCGUGGUUAAAGUGCCUUGUAAAUUAGAGUUAAAUCUUAACUGAGCAGUAGAAUGCCUGUUUCCCAGAAACUCAUAAACGAAAGUUACUCUAUUACAACAACUUGAACCCACGAUAGCCAAAAUACAAACUAGGAUUAGAUACCCUACUAUGCUUGGCCCUAAACCUUUAAUUACCCCCCCCCAAUCGCCUAGGAACUACGAGCAAUGCUUAAAACCUAAUGGACUUGACGGUGCCCAACAUUCACCUAGAGGAGCCUGUCCAAUAACCGAUGCUCCCCGUUCAACCUUACCACUCCUAGCCUCUCAGCCUGUAUACCUCCGUCCCAGCUUACCAUCUGAAUGAGUUAGUAAGCUCAACCGCCACCUACUAAUACAUCAGGUCGAGGUGCAGCAAAUGGAGUGGGAAGAGAUGGGCUACACUCUCUAUCUUAGAAGACACGAAAGGUCAAAAUGCAAUCUAACCAGAAGGUGGAUUUAGUAGUAAAAAGAAAAUAGAGUAUUCUUUUUAAUUCGACACUGGGGUGUGUACACACCGCCCGUCACCCUCUUCAAAUUUUAUCAAUAGUACUUAACAAAACUUUUCCUAAAGAAGAGGUAAGUCGUAACAUGGUAAGCGCACCGGAAGGUGUGCUUGGUAAU
Molecule: non-coding RNA, 953 nt
Filed under: Ischnocnema oea (Espirito Santo robber frog)
Lineage: Eukaryota; Metazoa; Chordata; Amphibia; Anura; Brachycephalidae
Description: partial small subunit ribosomal RNA
Rfam family: Bacterial small subunit ribosomal RNA
Source: RNAcentral